This 1045-nucleotide long non-coding RNA is filed under the name Heterocephalus glaber (naked mole-rat). RNAcentral describes it as "lncRNA (ENSHGLG00100042664.1)". The record is from RNAcentral. Lineage: Eukaryota; Metazoa; Chordata; Mammalia; Rodentia; Bathyergidae.
CAGGUCCAAACAGAACUCGGAACCCUGGAGUCACUGGGCACCACAGUCCAGCGACGGCUGCCUAACAGUCACUUGGCUGGAGAGAGUCAGCAGCAACUCAUGCUGUGCUGCUUUCCCAGGCCUUGAAGCUGCAGCAACAGGACCCUGCGCAGGGAAAGCACUUGGGCGUGAGUGAGAGGAUGGAUGGCUAAGUCCCCGCGCUUCAGGCCACUCACCAGGAACUGCCUGGCCAUCAGGGGCAGCACAGGGCGGGUCUCACCAGACCCGGAGACCUGGGGACCUGAGAUGAGCGGGAGCCCAGGGCAGAUCUCCCUGGACCUGGACACCAGACACUUGGGCCCACCGAGUCCAGGACAGGUCCAGUUAGGCCCGGCCACCACUAUUGGGGCCCAACGGGAGGAGAGCCGGGCAGAGGACUGCAUGGUGAGGACGGUGCUGGCAGGCAUGCAGCGGCCCCUGAGGGAGCCCCCAGAAUGGGACUUCCUGGACAGCCGCCCCAUCCGCACAGACUCCCUCCUGGACCCCUCUGGGGCCUGCAUUCCCGCCCUGCAGGAGGGAAUGGUGCGAAGGCGAGCUCUGUGGUCGGCACCCAGGGGCACUUGGCCACUGUGGCCCCAAGUCUUUGGAAGGUCCUCCUUUUUUGUCCUCCACUUCUUGGUGGAGCUGCACUCCCAGGAGAAUCCACCAGCUGAACUCCUGGCCCAGCUGGAGCAAGCUGAGUCCACUGAGGCACAGCCCACGGGAUCAGCUCCAGCCCCAGCUGAAGUCCCACGUGCGGAGCCCGAGCCAGCUCCACCUGCAGCUUCCUGCCCAGGCUGGGACCACAGCCAGAGUCCGUGGCAGCCUCUUCACCUGCUGCAGUGCUGGGGCACCCGGUGGUUGCACGGCAGUCGGUGUCAUCUCCUGAGCUCCACCUGGGGCCAGCUCCUGGCCCCCUCCCACUGUUUCCCUCACUUAUGCUGGCUCUUGUUUUGGUAUUUCUUGGAUUUAUAUAAAUAAUAGAACUAGCUUUUAAUAAAACUUAAAAUUUUAGUGUUUAAAAGGG